Molecule: unclassified non-coding RNA, 300 nt
Rfam family: 5.8S ribosomal RNA (bases 1-71)
GUGAGUCAUCGAAUCUUUGAACGCACAUUGCGCCCGCCAGUAUUCUGGCGGGCAUGCCUGUUCGAGCGUCAUUUCAACCCUCAAGCUCUGCUUGGUGUUGGGGAUCGGCGUAGUGUCCUUCGGGGCGCUGCCGUCCCCUAAAUCUAGUGGCGGUCCUGCCGUAGAUACCUCUGCGUAGUAGUUUUCUCCUCGCUCUGGAAUCUCGGCGGUGCCUUGCCGUUAAACCCCCAACUUCUGAAAGGUUGACCUCGAAUCAGGUAGGAAUACCCGCUGAACUUAAGCAUAUCAAUAAGCGGAGGA